GGCGCUAUAGCCAAGUGGUUACGGCGACAGAUUCGAAUUCUCUUAUCUGUUCCUCUUUGAGGGCGCAGGUUCAAAUCCUGCUGGCGUCG
Molecule: transfer RNA, 89 nt
Filed under: Lentinula edodes (shiitake mushroom)
Lineage: Eukaryota; Fungi; Basidiomycota; Agaricomycetes; Agaricales; Omphalotaceae
Rfam family: tRNA
About the family: Transfer RNA (tRNA) molecules are approximately 80 nucleotides in length.
Source: Rfam by way of RNAcentral